UGGGGAAUUUUGGACAAUGGGCGAAAGCCUGAUCCAGCAAUGCCGCGUGUGUGAAGAAGGCCUUCGGGUUGUAAAGCACUUUUGUCCGGAAAGAAAUCCUUGGCUCUAAUACAGUCGGGGGAUGACGGUACCGGAAGAAUAAGCACCGGCUAACUACGUGCCAGCAGCCGCGGUAAUACGUAGGGUGCAAGCGUUAAUCGGAAUUACUGGGCGUAAAGCGUGCGCAGGCGGUUUGCUAAGACCGAUGUGAAAUCCCCGGGCUCAACCUGGGAACUGCAUUGGUGACUGGCAGGCUAGAGUAUGGCAGAGGGGGGUAGAAUUCCACGUGUAGCAGUGAAAUGCGUAGAGAUGUGGAGGAAUACCGAUGGCGAAGGCAGCCCCCUGGGCCAAUACUGACGCUCAUGCACGAAAAGCGUGGGGAGCAAAACAGGAUUUAGAUACCCCUGGUAGUCCACGCCCUAAAACGAUGUCAACUAGUUGUUGGGGAUUCAUUUCCUUAGUAACGUAGCUAACGCGUGAAGUUGACCGCCUGGGGAGUACGGUCGCAAGAUUAAAACUCAAA
Molecule: ribosomal RNA, 562 nt
Filed under: uncultured bacterium
Lineage: Bacteria
Description: partial 16S ribosomal RNA
Rfam family: Bacterial small subunit ribosomal RNA
Source: RNAcentral